UCCCUCUCUCAACAUCAAUUUCAUCAACUAUUAUUUCCUUUGGCCCAAAUCGAAAAACCUAAACCCUUAGCUCCCUCUUAUUUCCUUCCCCCGAUUCCCUCACCAUCUUCACAAAUUUUCCUCUCCCUCAGCCUCUCUCGGUCAGUCCAGUCGGUCUCUCCUCUGCACUAACCCCCCACCCCUUAAUCUCUUUGCAACAGAGGACAGGGUCAUGCCAUUGCCUACCCCUCAACCUCGCCGAUGCACAGAAGAAAGGCGUUGCUACUACUCAUUCUUCCCACGUCGAUGAAGAACGAGUCGCCAGUGAUUGGGUUUUUAGUUCACAGGUCUUUGGGUUUUCUUUUUCAAUUUUUUUUCUAAAUAUCUAACAUCUGGUUGUGAUGGAAGAUUUUGUUAACAUCUCGCUGAGAAGGUUAAAUUAAGUUCGUGUUUUGGACUUGGUGCCUGCCAAUUUAUCUAUUUCUUAAGUGGUGGUUGCUGCUAGGGAUAUAGGUGAUGAAUCCGUUCCUAUUCGCUAGCGGCAACAUUGGAGCUAAUCAAGUUUGGGUGGUAUAAGAUGGAAGCAUUGGAAGUGUUUUUUUUUUCUCCAUUUUAGGUUCAUUCCUAAUGGUCAUACUAUCUCAACCCAUAUCACUGGCGCCUUUAGGGAGUGACAGGAUGCUACUGGUUACACAUGGAAGGAUGUCUCUCCAUCUACUCGUGACUUCUACUAGCAGGAAUUUAUGGUAAUUGUUAUUUAUUUCUAACAAAAAUAUAUAUACUUACUGUUAUUGAUAUAAUUAUUUUAAUAAUCGAAAUACUUAUUUUUUAGAAAAAAUAUCAAUGGAAUGCAACUGAUGAUAGCAUAAUUAAAGAUACUUGGGAUAAAGUGGCAUCUCUUCUAACAAUAAGAAAUUAUACACUUGGCGGAAGAAAGGAACAAAACCUAUUGGUGUUGCACAAGAUGUAUGGGAUAGCUGAUGGCACACUGGUCCACUCUAGAGUAGAUUGCUAAAUCUCGUAUCGCUGCUCAAAAUUGGCGUAGCGAGACUGGUGGUCCAGGCAUUGGUUUAAGCAAGCAUACUGGUGGUUCCAGGUCUACUGUGGAGCACAGUCUGAAAAUGGCAGAAGAACUACACCGUGAUCCUAAUUCUUAGGAGGUGUUUAAAAAGUUGCAUAAAAAAAAGGAUGGAACCUUUGUUAAUGUCAGGUCUCAGAGCAUUAAUGAUGACGAUUCACAAGAGAUCUCAAUCAAUGUCAAUCGCCUAUCCUUGGAUAUUAUGGGUGGAGAGAAGAAGCAACGCAUGUACGGUUUGGGCUCUCAUGCUUCAACUUUGUACCCAGACUCAUUCAGCAGCUCUGCCACUUCCCGCAGGACAACUACGGUGAUAGAUCAUAUUGCUGAUGAGCGCAUUAGAGUGCUUGAGGAGGAGAUCGUGCGCAUGAGGGAAAAUUAAGAGCAAAUUCUCCAGCAACGCGUUGAGGAGGAGGUAUCGCGCCUCAGGCAAUAGAUUGAAGAGCAGUUUCGCUCUAUACAAGAGGAGAUGAGGCGUAUGAUGAGGCAAAUGUCGUCAUCAUCCCGCCCUUCAUGUGAUUCUGUUGAUUCUCAUUAUCAGAGCAUGCCUAAUCUGUAGCUUGAUAUUGUUUAUAUACAUUUGCUAACUGAACUUAUUUCUUGUACGGUUGACUUUAUACUUUUAUAUAAUAUAUGGUAUUAUUAUUUACUAA
RNA transcript from Hevea brasiliensis (rubber tree), 1707 nucleotides. RefSeq lists it as uncharacterized. The transcript has 6 exons. Lineage: Eukaryota; Viridiplantae; Streptophyta; Magnoliopsida; Malpighiales; Euphorbiaceae. The record is from RefSeq and is a predicted model, not a curated record.